UACGAAGGGGGCUAGCGUUGUUCGGAAUUACUGGGCGGUAAAGCGCACGUAGGCGGAUCGAUCAAGUCAGGGGUGAAAUCCCAGGGCUCAACCCUGGAACUGCCUUUGAUACUGUCGAUCUGGAGUAUGGAAGAGGUGAGUGGAAUUCCGAGUGUAGAGGUGAAAUUCGUAGAUAUUCGGAAGAACACCAGUGGCGAAGGCGACUUACUGGACACAUAUUGACGCUGAGGUGCGAAAGCGUGGGGAGCAAACAGG
RNAcentral lists this ribosomal RNA (255 nucleotides) under uncultured bacterium. Its description in RNAcentral is "partial 16S ribosomal RNA". It matches the Rfam family "Bacterial small subunit ribosomal RNA", at positions 524 to 776 of the family's 1533-position model. The record is from RNAcentral.